GAUGAAGAACGUAGCGAAAUGCGAUAAGUAAUGUGAAUUGCAGAAUUCAGUGAAUCAUCGAAUCUUUGAACGCACAUUGCGCCCGCCAGUAUUCUGGCGGGCAUGCCUGUUCGAGCGUCAUUUCAACCAUCAAGCCCCCGGCUUGUGUUGGGGACCUGCGGCUGCCGCAGGCCCUGAAAACCAGUGGCGGGCUCGCUAGUCACUCCGAGCGUAGUAAUACAUCUCGCUCAGGGCGUGCUGCGGGUUCCGGCCGUUAAAAAGCCUUAUUUACCAAAGGUUGACCUCGGAUCAGGUAGGAAGACCCGCUGAACUUAAGCAUAUCAAUAAGCGGAGGA
RNAcentral lists this unclassified non-coding RNA (335 nucleotides) under soil metagenome. RNAcentral's name for it is "partial contains 5.8S ribosomal RNA, internal transcribed spacer 2, and large subunit ribosomal RNA". The stretch from base 1 to 120 matches the Rfam family "5.8S ribosomal RNA", at positions 35 to 154 of the family's 154-position model. The record is from RNAcentral.